Molecule: microRNA precursor, 69 nt
Filed under: Fukomys damarensis (Damara mole-rat)
Lineage: Eukaryota; Metazoa; Chordata; Mammalia; Rodentia; Bathyergidae
Description: miRNA (ENSFDAG00000020646.1)
Source: RNAcentral
UGCUUACCUCAGGGAAAGCAGGCAGGGAGAGAGCGCUGGGCAGGUUCUCACAGUCCUUUUCCAUUGCCU